RNA transcript from Frieseomelitta varia, 2262 nucleotides. It is a transcript of the gene named activating signal cointegrator 1 complex subunit 1, with no coding region annotated. The transcript has 8 exons. The record is from RefSeq and is a predicted model, not a curated record. NCBI's taxonomy places the organism in Eukaryota, Metazoa, Arthropoda, Insecta, Hymenoptera, Apidae.
CAAGUAUAUACAUACUUGCACGAUGUGUUCUAAUAGCAUAUAUAAUUCCAUCAAAUUUUUACGAAUAAAUUGAACAAAAUUUUUUAAUAAUUUUAUUUUAUAAAAGUGUGGUGUACACUUUAAUCAUAUUGAUCACUUGUUCUAAUAAAGUUCGAAGUAAUUAAUAUGUUAAAAAUGAAUGCACAAUAAAAAAAAAUUUGACGCACGAAAUGCGAAUUCACUGGAGAUCAAUGAGAAUUCGUCACGUUAUGUGUACAAUGUGGAACCUUUUCUUGAAAUGAGAAGGCUUGCUUUGUUUAUUUUGAAACAUAGUAUUGUAAUAUAUCGGAGAAAAAAGUGAUUUUGCACAAUUAACGUGAAAACAGAUAUUUGUCGAACAAUGGACAUCUUGAAACCUGAGUUGGUUUGGGUAGAUGGUCGAUGCUACAGGGUAUUAGAAAAUACUAAGCGUAUAAAUGAUGUUUCUUCUUACUUUGAAGAUAAUAAUUACCAGCUGGAUGACAAAGAUGCUGAGGAUGAAUGUUACGACAGCAAUAUAGAAAUUGUACCAUACGGAUCAACAAAAUUUAAACAUGCAUUUCACGUACCAAAAGCAUUUUUCCCAUUUAUCAUUGGAGCCAAACAUGCUGUACAUAAGAGAUUGGAAACUGAGACUAAAACAGUAAUACAAAUACCAAAGUUUGGCCAAGAUGGAGAUAUUGUCAUAAUUGGUAACGACUGCAAAGGAAUAAUAAGUGCACGUCAUAGAAUUAAUCUAUUAAUGGAGGCAUCUAGGAAAAAGAUAAAAUUUACACAUUUUUUAUCGAUACCUCUAAAUGAUGGCCAUGUAAUAAUGAAAUUUAAUAUGUUUAAAAACGAAGUAUUGACAAAUUCAGGAAAAACAUCCAGAGGUGUGGAUGAAACAAUUUUUCAGACACCAAGUAAAUUACAUCUUACCAUUGGGGUAAUGAAAUUGCUUGAUGAUGCAGAAAGAAAUCAAGCUGUAGAAGCUUUAAAUUAUUGCAACGAGCAUAUUGUAAAGCCUACUAUUGAAAAAUAUGGACAAAUUCCUAUAUUCUUACAAGGAACUGAAAUAAUGAAUGAUGAUCCUGCUGAAGCAGGAGUUUUAUAUGCAAAGGUAGUCGACAAAACUGGAGUUUUACAAAAAAUGGUAGAGGAAAUUGUAGAUUAUUACAUCAAAAUAGGUUUAAUAGAUAGAAAAUACCAGACUGUUAAACUGCACCUAACCCUUAUGAAUACAACGUUUAAAUUGACUAAAGAAGAAAGAAAUGGUAAAAACUUCAUAACAUUUGAUGCCACCGAAAUAAUGAAAGCUCAUGAAAAUACAAUCUUUGGAGAAACUACAUUAAAGCAAAUUCACAUAUCGCAACGUCAUACAAUCAGUAGUAAUGGAUACUAUAUAGCAACAGCAAAAAUUAAUCUACUUGAAGGUGAACUCGUGUAAAAACUUGAAAAUUUGAUUUUUCUAUAUAAUACAGCCUUUAGAUAUAUUUGCAUAUCAUCAAAAAUAAUAAUAAAUAAGUCUGCUGAAUUAAGUUCCUACAUAAUUUAAUCUUUAGAUGCAAAAAAUGUUCGUGUACAUGUAUAUUCAGAAAAAUUAAUUUUUCGAAUUAUAAGCAAAAAAGUAUGUUUAUAUAUGAAAUGUGUUUGUGUCACAUCAGCAAUUAAAAAUAAUUGGACAAAAACAUUUUUUAAUUCGUGUUUCUAACAAGAAGGCCUAGGUGCCAUGAAUUCAGAUAUAUUAAUGUAAGUUUUUAACUUUUCUUUUAAAGCUCUACCUAUUCUUAACUUCUUACAGGUUUUACAUAGAGAAAAGAAUUAUUAAAUUAGAAUGUUUAAUUAAAAAAUAUUAGUAUUUGUACUGAAUUUCUGACAUUUUUUAUUUACUUUACUAAUGUUCUACUUCAAUUGACUGUCACAGGCUACCAAUGACUCAUGAGACACAAAAUGAGCUCAAAAAUUUAAUAUUCAUUUUCAAAUUGCAAUAAUUCUUUUCUUCAGUUAAUUAAAAAAUAAAAAAUUUGUAUGAUAUAUAGAAACUUAUUUUUUAUUACAUUAGUAUUUUUUCAAGUGAAAAAAUUUGUUUCUUUAUUAAUUUCCGAUUAGUUAUUUUUAAAGAAAUUACAAAGGUCAUAAGAGUAACAACGCGUGCAUUUUUCUAGAUCUUGAAAAUUUAGAAUGUUACUGUUUGUAUUUUUUAAACACAAGAGAGCUUCAUGUACCGUAUUUUUAUACAAACUCAGAAUAAAAUAUUUUUUUGAA